GUUCACUAGCUCUCUCAUCAUAAUUCUCUCAACGGGAAGCCUGGUUAUUAUUUAUUCAAUCUAAGAUGACGAUUGGGUAGUUAGUCCUUUUAAUCAACGGUACUCCGACUUGGUGAUUAGCAGGACACGCUAAAGCAAAGAUGAAAGAACUAGUUUGGCGCAAAACAUACUUUAUGUUGCGAUCUCUCUAUACAGUCUCCCGCUUCAAAAGUUGGUUCUCUCUUCAAUUACUAUUCAUCUGCCUAAACAAACAUACCUCGACUCUCUCUCUCUUAAGGGCUUUGGGUUAUCCAACUAGUAGAAAUUGACGUUUAGAUCAUCUCGAAUUCGAUUCAUGAUCGGGUUUAGAUCAUUUUAAGCUUCUCUACCUUUCCCCUCUCUCUUAAUCCCCAAGAACUACUCGAAAAUGAUCUCACAACAAACAUAUCUGAUUUGAAGGAGUCACUUUAAUAGUUCUUGAUUAUUUGUUAUGAAAGAGAUGCGUAUUUUGGCGGUCCGUCUUUGAUGCUGCCGGUAAGAUUAUUCAAGUUUGGAGAUAUUGUAUCACCAAUUCCUACCAUUGUUGUGGAGGAAGGUUAGAGAUCUCAAGGGAGAGAUUGUUCCAAUGGACCUGUUGUAUAUAAUGGAAAGGUUUUUUUGAAGCUGCUCGUAUCUUUUCAUCAUUCAAUGAAUAAUUACUGAAGGGAAACUUUGGUUCAUAUUUGCUGGUUAACUGCUAAACCAUCCUACGCAAAUCCAGCCAUUAUGCAACUAGAGUUUAGCGUGGUUGAUAUUUUUGUCAGUCUGUGCGGACUAGAGUGACAGUCUGGCUAUCAUGAAUGUUGGAUUUUCUGUAAUUUUGCCGAUGUGUACAUAGUUGUAC
This is a long non-coding RNA of Papaver somniferum (opium poppy), 862 nucleotides long. RefSeq lists it as uncharacterized. NCBI's taxonomy places the organism in Eukaryota, Viridiplantae, Streptophyta, Magnoliopsida, Ranunculales, Papaveraceae. The record is from RefSeq and is a predicted model, not a curated record. The transcript is spliced from 5 exons.